Molecule: long non-coding RNA, 242 nt
Filed under: Elaeis guineensis (African oil palm)
Lineage: Eukaryota; Viridiplantae; Streptophyta; Magnoliopsida; Arecales; Arecaceae
Description: long non-coding RNA (EGUI_LNC067622)
Source: RNAcentral
UAUUCAGACCAGCUCAUCUAGUUUUUCUUCGAGCCGUACUCUUACGGAGGACAAUCUAUAGGACCUUCAUGGCCCAUAGAUCUCUAUCCGGACCAACUCAUCAGGUUUUUCUCUGAGCCAUACUCUUAUGAAGGACAACCUACAGGACCUCCACAGCCCAUUGAUCUCUAUCUGGGGUAGCUCGUCGAUCUUCAUCCGAGCCUUCUUGUAGAGGACAACCUACGGGACCUCUGCAGUCCGUC